ACGAACGCUGGCGGCGUGCCUAAUACAUGCAAGUAGAACGCUGAAGGAGGAGCUUGCUUCUCUGGAUGAGUUGCGAACGGGUGAGUAACGCGUAGGUAACCUGCCUGGUAGCGGGGGAUAACUAUUGGAAACGAUAGCUAAUACCGCAUAAUAUUGACUAUUGCAUGAUAGUCAGUUGAAAGGUGCAACUGCACCACUACCAGAUGGACCUGCGUUGUAUUAGCUAGUUGGUGGGGUAACGGCUCACCAAGGCGACGAUACAUAGCCGACCUGAGAGGGUGAUCGGCCACACUGGGACUGAGACACGGCCCAGACUCCUACGGGAGGCAGCAGUAGGGAAUCUUCGGCAAUGGACGGAAGUCUGACCGAGCAACGCCGCGUGAGUGAAGAAGGUUUUCGGAUCGUAAAGCUCUGUUGUAAGAGAAGAACGAGUGUGAGAGUGGAAAGCUCACACUGUGACGGUAUCUUACCAGAAAGGGACGGCUAACUACGUG
This 494-nucleotide ribosomal RNA is filed under the name uncultured bacterium. RNAcentral describes it as "partial 16S ribosomal RNA". It matches the Rfam family "Bacterial small subunit ribosomal RNA", at positions 29 to 507 of the family's 1533-position model. The record is from RNAcentral.